RNAcentral lists this ribosomal RNA (677 nucleotides) under Nocardia sp. I08A-00444. Its description in RNAcentral is "bacterial SSU rRNA". It matches the Rfam family "Bacterial small subunit ribosomal RNA", at positions 75 to 769 of the family's 1533-position model. Lineage: Bacteria; Bacillati; Actinomycetota; Actinomycetes; Mycobacteriales; Nocardiaceae. The record is from RNAcentral.
GGCCUUCGGGUACACGAGCGGCGAACGGGUGAGUAACACGUGGGUGAUCUGCCUCGCACUUCGGGAUAAGCCUGGGAAACUGGGUCUAAUACCGGAUAUGACCUUCCAGUGCAUGCUGGUUGGUGGAAAGAUUUAUCGGUGCGAGAUGGGCCCGCGGCCUAUCAGCUUGUUGGUGAGGUAACGGCUCACCAAGGCGACGACGGGUAGCCGACCUGAGAGGGUGACCGGCCACACUGGGACUGAGACACGGCCCAGACUCCUACGGGAGGCAGCAGUGGGGAAUAUUGCACAAUGGGCGAAAGCCUGAUGCAGCGACGCCGCGUGGAGGAUGACGGCCUUCGGGUUGUAAACUCCUUUCGACAGGGACGAAGCGCAAGUGACGGUACCUGUAGAAGAAGCACCGGCCAACUACGUGCCAGCAGCCGCGGUAAUACGUAGGGUGCGAGCGUUGUCCGGAAUUACUGGGCGUAAAGAGCUUGUAGGCGGUCUGUCGCGUCUUCUGUGAAAACUUGGGGCUCAACCUUAAGCUUGCAGGCGAUACGGGCAGACUAGAGUACUUCAGGGGAGACUGGAAUUCCUGGUGUAGCGGUGAAAUGCGCAGAUAUCAGGAGGAACACCGGUGGCGAAGGCGGGUCUCUGGGAAGUAACUGACGCUGAGAAGCGAAAGCAUGGGUAGC